Molecule: ribosomal RNA, 425 nt
Filed under: uncultured bacterium
Lineage: Bacteria
Description: partial 16S ribosomal RNA
Rfam family: Bacterial small subunit ribosomal RNA
Source: RNAcentral
GUGGGGAAUCUUAGACAAUGGGGGAAACCCUGAUCUAGCCAUGCCGCGUGAUCGAUGAAGGCCUUAGGGUUGUAAAGAUCUUUCAGCUGGGAAGAUAAUGACGGUACCAGCAGAAGAAGCCCCGGCUAACUCCGUGCCAGCAGCCGCGGUAAUACGGAGGGGGCUAGCGUUAUUCGGAAUUACUGGGCGUAAAGCGCACGUAGGCGGAUCAGAAAGUCAGAGGUGAAAUCCCAGGGCUCAACCUUGGAACGGCCUUUGAAACUCCUGGUCUUGAGUUCGAGAGAGGUGAGUGGAAUUCCGAGUGUAGAGGUGAAAUUCGUAGAUAUUCGGAGGAACACCAGUGGCGAAGGCGGCUCACUGGCUCGAUACUGACGCUGAGGUGCGAAAGCGUGGGGAGCAAACAGGAUUAGAAACCCUGGUAGUCC